RNAcentral lists this ribosomal RNA (529 nucleotides) under Aspergillus tamarii. RNAcentral's name for it is "eukaryotic LSU rRNA". The stretch from base 146 to 299 matches the Rfam family "5.8S ribosomal RNA". The record is from RNAcentral. Lineage: Eukaryota; Fungi; Ascomycota; Eurotiomycetes; Eurotiales; Aspergillaceae.
GUGUUUACUGUAACCUUAGUUGCUUCGGCGGGCCCGCCUUUAAGGCCGCCGGGGGGCAUCAGCCCCCGGGCCCGCGCCCGCCGGAGACACCACGAACUCUGUCUGAUCUAGUGAAGUCUGAGUUGAUUGUAUCGCAAUCAGUUAAAACUUUCAACAAUGGAUCUCUUGGUUCCGGCAUCGAUGAAGAACGCAGCGAAAUGCGAUAACUAGUGUGAAUUGCAGAAUUCCGUGAAUCAUCGAGUCUUUGAACGCACAUUGCGCCCCCUGGUAUUCCGGGGGGCAUGCCUGUCCGAGCGUCAUUGCUGCCCAUCAAGCACGGCUUGUGUGUUGGGUCGUCGUCCCCUCUUCGGGGGGGACGGGCCCCAAAGGCAGCGGCGGCACCGCGUCCGAUCCUCGAGCGUAUGGGGCUUUGUCACCCGCUCUGUAGGCCCGGCCGGCGCUUGCCGAACGCAAAACAACCAUUCUUUCCAGGUUGACCUCGGAUCAGGUAGGGAUACCCGCUGAACUUAAGCAUAUCAAUAAGCGGAGG